This is a small nuclear RNA of Choloepus didactylus (southern two-toed sloth), 105 nucleotides long. Lineage: Eukaryota; Metazoa; Chordata; Mammalia; Pilosa; Megalonychidae. The record is from RefSeq and is a predicted model, not a curated record.
GUGAUUGCUUUGAUGGCCCGUAUACUACAAUUGGAAUGAAACAGAGAAGAUUAGCAUGGCCCUACCACAGAUGACACACAAAUUCGUGAAGCAUUCCAUAUUUUU